RNAcentral lists this long non-coding RNA (240 nucleotides) under Elaeis guineensis (African oil palm). Its description in RNAcentral is "long non-coding RNA (EGUI_LNC012293)". Lineage: Eukaryota; Viridiplantae; Streptophyta; Magnoliopsida; Arecales; Arecaceae. The record is from RNAcentral.
GUGGGUGCUGCGGUCUCAUUGAUGUAUGGCACCUCAUCUAAUAGUUAUUGGUGAUACGUAUACCAAUGCGUGGAUAACUCUUUAUCCAGAUGCUUCUCCAAGCAUGUUGUACCGAUUUGGUCUCUAAAUUCUGUGACCUCAUCUAACAGUUAUUGGUACAUUCCUUAGUUAAGUCGGACCCACCAUUCACCAGCAAGUGUAAAGCCAUCAUUGGGUCCCUCACCUAACAGUUAUUGGGCU